Molecule: ribosomal RNA, 172 nt
Filed under: uncultured bacterium
Lineage: Bacteria
Description: partial 16S ribosomal RNA
Rfam family: Bacterial small subunit ribosomal RNA
Source: RNAcentral
CCUACGGGAGGCAGCAGUGAGGAAUAUUGGGCAAUGGGCGCAAGCCUGACCCAGCAAUGCCGCGUGAGGGAAGAAGGUUUUCGGAUUGUAAACCUCUGUUUUUAGUGAAGAAACAAAUGACGGUAGCUAAAGAGGAAGCCACGGCUAACUACGUGCCAGCAGCCGCGGUAAU